UGUAUGACCUCACCUUGGAAGCGAUGUCAUCCCUGCUGCCACCUACUAUUGACUAGAAGCAAGUAAGCCCCACCUACAUGCCCAGGUGGGAAUCCCAACAGGAUGGGGAGGAUCAGUGGGUCUUUAGGGUUUGUGGCCACACCACGUAGGGUCGUCCCGGGAUCCCUCCAUAGGCUCAUCAAGGGGCUGGCCAUAGACCUUGGGGGGAGUAGACAACUAUGUGAGCAGAGGGCUGGGUGGGGGGUGCAUGCAGACCUGCACAGGCCUGGGUGGUUCCCCCGAGGUUGUCCAUUGGGUUGACAUGUUGGCUGCUCUGCUGGCAGGAACCCUCCCUCCAGGUGCAGGAAGCCCCUGUGAACUUGGAACCUCCCCGCCCCAGGGCUUGGAGACCAGGUGGAACAGGGGAGGCCAUCAGGCUGGACAGAGCAGCAGGGAUGGAGAGAGGCGACCCAGUCCUUGGAUCUCUGCGGGGCUGUCCCUGCCACUCUGGGGAUGCUGGGCAGACGUCACAGGCUGGGUCUCCACCCUGAGGACGUUCCAGGCGCUGCCUGGCCUGGCCCUGGAGUUAGCAUCCGAUGGCUCUACCCUCCUGCUGCCCCAUCGCGUCUGCUGUCCCCUUGCCCGCUUGACUCCUGGUGGAGGAGCAGGUGUCACCUGGCAGGGUGACACAAACCAGCCUGGGGGACAGGCUGGAGGAGCAGAGUGGCUGUGAGGCACCUGCCGGCAAGGUCAAGAUGCACACCCAGGAUGUUUCUAACGAGCAUGGAUUAGUUACCUUUAUAGUCAGCAUAUCAGUUAAAACUGAUUCUUCAGUAACAAACAUGAAGUCACAAACACCCCCUUCUGACUCCCAGAGGAUACCAAGUGCCCGGUGA
RNAcentral lists this long non-coding RNA (875 nucleotides) under Vulpes vulpes (red fox). RNAcentral describes it as "lncRNA (ENSVVUG00000002776.1)". The record is from RNAcentral. Lineage: Eukaryota; Metazoa; Chordata; Mammalia; Carnivora; Canidae.